RNAcentral lists this transfer RNA (87 nucleotides) under Streptomyces hygroscopicus subsp. hygroscopicus. RNAcentral describes it as "tRNA-Arg". Lineage: Bacteria; Bacillati; Actinomycetota; Actinomycetes; Kitasatosporales; Streptomycetaceae. The record is from RNAcentral.
GCCCUUCGCGGCGAGGGACUCCUCGCGCAGGAACUCCGGGUCCCUGCCGGUCGCGGCGAGCCGCGCGUUCCACCGCGCGAGGGUCGC